This 440-nucleotide ribosomal RNA is filed under the name uncultured bacterium. Its description in RNAcentral is "bacterial SSU rRNA". It matches the Rfam family "Bacterial small subunit ribosomal RNA", at positions 338 to 795 of the family's 1533-position model. The record is from RNAcentral.
CCUACGGGAGGCAGCAGUGGGGAAUAUUGGACAAUGGGCGAAAGCCUGAUCCAGCAAUGCCGCGUGUGUGAAGAAGGUCUUCGGAUUGUAGAGCACUUUCGACAGGGACGAUGAUGACGGUACCCGUAGAAGAAGCCCCGGCUAACUUCGUGCCAGCAGCCGCGGUAAUACGAAGGGGGCUAGCGUUGCUCGGAAUGACUGGGCGUAAAGGGCGCGUAGGCGGUUUAUGCAGUCAGAUGUGAAAUCCCCGGGCUUAACCUGGGAACUGCAUUUGAGACGCAUAGACUAGAGGUCGAGAGAGGGUUGUGGAAUUCCCAGUGUAGAGGUGAAAUUCGUAGAUAUUGGGAAGAACACCGGUGGCGAAGGCGGCCUGCUGGACAUUAACUGACGCUGAGGAGCGAAAGCGUGGGGAGCAAACAGGAUUAGAUACCCGCGUAGUC